AUGGCCUUCCUAGUUAUGCUCCUCCUCGUUGUCGUUCCUCUGCUCGUGGUUGUCGCCACGCAGCUGUGGGACUACGCCGUCAUGCGCCUCGUGUGGAGGCCAGACGCCAUAAGCAAGUGGUUCAGAGAGCAAGGGAUCCAUGGACCCUCCUACGGGUUCUUGAAUGGCUGCAACAAGGACAUCAGGAGCCUCAAGGAGGAGACUGACCGUCUGGUGCUGGAUGUUCGCGACCACAAGUACCUCCCGCGGAUCGCGCCACACUACCUGAAAUGGAGGGCGCAGUACGGAGACCCAUUUCUAUAUUGGCAUGGGGCGCAGGCCCGAAUAUGCGUAUUUAAUUAUGAAUUGGCAAGACAAAUUCUUUCAAGCAAGUCCGGACAUUUCGUGAAGAACGAUGUACACCCUAAUUUCCUGGCUUUGGUUGGUAACAAACUCGGGUUUAUGGAAGGCGCAGAUUGGGUGCGCCAUCGCAGGAUAAUCAACCCUGUUUUCACCAUUGAUAAGCUAAAGAUGAUGACAAAAACAAUGCUGGAUUUUGCUGAAACCAUGGUUAAGGAGUUGGAACAUCAAGCAUCUCGAAACGAGAAUGGAGAAAAACAAUUACAUAUCAGUAAAUUUUUCAGCCAGCUAACAGUUCAUAAUAUAUCCCAUGCCAUCUUUGGAAGCAGUUAUGAAUUAGGAAAUAAAGUGUUCCAGGCUCAAAUUGACCUAUUGAGGAUCACUAUGGAAGCUUUCCUCGACGUGCUGAUACCAGGAUUCAAAUAUCUUCCUACUGAAAGGAAUCAACGUAGAUGGAUGCUCGAAAGGGAGCUUAAGAGCCUACUCACACAAAUCAUACAACCACGAUUAGCAACUAGUGAAUACGGAAAUGAUCUACUAGGUGUCAUGCUUGACUCUUGCAUUGAAACCAAGCAAGGAGGGAAGCAAGUGGAUCUCAGCUUGAGCAUGGACGAGAUCAUACAUGAGUGCAAGCAGUUCUUCUUCGCUGGUCAUGACACGACAUCUCAACUACUCACAUGGUCUGUGUAUUUGUUGUGCAUAUACCCAGAAUGGCAAGAAAAGCUUCGAAAGGAAGUCUUCAAGGAAUUUGGGAGGGAAUCUCCUAACCCCAAUGCGCUCAACAAAUUGAAAGAGAUGGCAAUGGUGCUCUUAGAGACCUUGAGGCUCUACCCGCCUGCUCUUUUCAUGCAAAGGAAGGCCGUGACCGAUAUGACAGUGGGAUCAAUAAAACUGCCCAAAGGCAUAUCAAUUGUGAUACCUAUUCCAGUUAUGCAUAGGGACAAGGAGGUUUGGGGUGACGACGCAGAUGAAUUCAAUCCCUUGAGAUUUAAGAAUGGGAUCACGGGGGCAGCAAAGGUUCCACAUGGCCUGCUAGCCUUUUCAAUCGGUCCAAGGUCUUGCAUCGGUCAGAACUUUGCUAUGUUGGAAGCGAAGUCGACAUUGGCCCUGAUGCUCCAGAAGUUCUCAUUCACCCUUUCCCCUGAUUAUGUGCAUGCACCAGUCGAUAUGUUUACUCUUAAACCUAAGUUUGGUCUUCCGAUAUUUUUAAGGCCACUGGAUAAGUGCAAUUAG
Molecule: ribosomal RNA, 1572 nt
Filed under: Triticum aestivum (bread wheat)
Lineage: Eukaryota; Viridiplantae; Streptophyta; Magnoliopsida; Poales; Poaceae
Description: partial small subunit ribosomal RNA
Source: RNAcentral